This 429-nucleotide ribosomal RNA is filed under the name Chloroflexota bacterium. RNAcentral's name for it is "Chloroflexi bacterium partial 16S ribosomal RNA". It matches the Rfam family "Bacterial small subunit ribosomal RNA", at positions 355 to 776 of the family's 1533-position model. The record is from RNAcentral. Lineage: Bacteria; Bacillati; Chloroflexota.
UGGGGAAUAUUGCACAAUGGGCGCAAGCCUGAUGCAGCCAUGCCGCGUGUGUGAAGAAGGCCUUCGGGUUGUAAAGCACUUUCAGCGGGGAGGAAGGCGGUGAGGUUAAUAACCUCACCGAUUGACGUUACCCGCAGAAGAAGCACCGGCUAACUCCGUGCCAGCAGCCGCGGUAAUACGGAGGGUGCAAGCGUUAAUCGGAAUUACUGGGCGUAAAGCGCACGCAGGCGGUCUGUCAAGUCUGAUGUGAAAGCCCCCGGCUCAACCGGGGAGGGUCAUUGGAAACUGGGAGACUUGAGUGCAGAAGAGGAGAGUGGAAUUCCAUGUGUAGCGGUGAAAUGCGUAGAUAUAUGGAGGAACACCAGUGGCGAAGGCGGCUCUCUGGUCUGUAACUGACGCUGAGGCUCGAAAGCGUGGGGAGCAAACAGG